RNAcentral lists this ribosomal RNA (460 nucleotides) under uncultured bacterium. RNAcentral's name for it is "partial 16S ribosomal RNA". It matches the Rfam family "Bacterial small subunit ribosomal RNA", at positions 338 to 795 of the family's 1533-position model. The record is from RNAcentral.
CCUACGGGUGGCAGCAGUGAGGAAUAUUGGUCAAUGGACGAGAGUCUGAACCAGCCAAGUAGCGUGAAGGAUGACUGCCCUAUGGGUUGUAAACUUCUUUUAUAUGGGAAUAAAAUGUUCCACGUGUGGGAUUUUGUAUGUACCAUAUGAAUAAGGAUCGGCUAACUCCGUGCCGGGAGCCGCGGUAAUACGGAGGAUCCGAGCGUUAUCCGGAUUUAUUGGGUUUAAAGGGAGCGUAGGUGGAUUGUUAAGUCAGUUGUGAAAGUUUGCGGCUCAACCGUAAAAUUGCAGUUGACACUGGCAGUCUUGAGUACAGUAGAGGUGGGCGGAAUUCGUGGUGUAGCGGUGAAAUGCUUAGAUAUCACGAAGAACUCCGAUUGCGAAGGCAGUUCACUGGACUGCAACUGACACUGAGGCUCGAAAGUGUGGGUAUCAAACAGGAUUAGAUACCCUUGUAGUC